ACGGGGUCAGCAGGCGCGAAAACUUUGCAAUGUGCGAAAGCACGACAAGGUUAAUCCGAGUGGUUUCUGCUAAAGAAACCUUUUGUCAGUCCUAGAAACACUGAUGAAUAAGGGGUGGGCAAGUUCUGGUGUCAGCCGCCGCGGUAAAACCAGCACCUCAAGUGGUCAGGAUGAUUAUUGGGCCUAAAGCAUCCGUAGCUCGUUUUGUAAGUUUUCGGUUAAAUCCAUGCGCUUAACGUAUGGGCUGCCGGGAAUACUGCAUAACUAGGAAGUGGGAGAGGUAGACGGUACUCGGUAGGAAGGGGUAAAAUCCUUUGAUCUAUUGAUGACCACCUGUGGCGAAGGCGGUCUACCAGAACACGUUCGACGGUGAGGGAUGAAAGCUGGGGGAGCAAACCGGAUUAGAUACCCGGGUAGUCCCAGCUGUAAACUAUGCAAACUCAGUGAUGCAUUGGCUUGUGGCCAAUGCAGUGCUGCAGGGAAGCCGUUAAGUUUGCCGCCUGGGAAGUACGUACGCAAGUAUGAAACUUAAAGGAAUUGGCGGGGGAGCAC
This 552-nucleotide ribosomal RNA is filed under the name uncultured Nitrososphaerota archaeon. Its description in RNAcentral is "bacterial SSU rRNA". It matches the Rfam family "Archaeal small subunit ribosomal RNA", at positions 325 to 879 of the family's 1478-position model. Lineage: Archaea; Thermoproteati; Nitrososphaerota. The record is from RNAcentral.